This is a long non-coding RNA of Parus major (Great Tit), 2922 nucleotides long. RefSeq lists it as uncharacterized. Lineage: Eukaryota; Metazoa; Chordata; Aves; Passeriformes; Paridae. The transcript is spliced from 3 exons. The record is from RefSeq and is a predicted model, not a curated record.
CUGUGAGAGGAAGGAGUCUGUAUUGCCUGGUGCUGCUCCUGGGAUUGCAACAGAGACGAACAGAAGGCUUUAGUAAACUGCUGAUGCCUGCUUCCAUCUUUGGCAUUAAUCUUCUGAGCCCACUAUCAGUCAGGGGAAGAUUUUAGGUACCAGGGGACUGAUGCUGGUGUCAUUUGUGUGACCACCAUCAAACUGGUGCUCAUUUUAGGGGCAAAUGAUGACAAACGUUCCUGUGUGAGGAGUGACCAGCAACAGUCACCAGAGAAGAGCUCAGUGACUGCGCCUUCUCCUCCCCUCAUGAGGAAGCUGCAGACCUCAGUGGGGUCUGUCCUCAGUCUCCUCUUCUUGUACCACCCAAAACUCUCCCUGGCACUUGAGGCCUGUGAAAGAAGCCUCCAGGGUUUCCAUGGUUGGAAAAAUGAGCAAACAUCUUGAAUUAUGGGAAAAUGGAGAAGUGGAGAAGAACUGCUAGGAUGAAUUGUCCUCCACUCCUGUUUCAGGAAAUGACCAUGAUCCUUCAUUGUGCUGCCUUUUAAUUGGGGCAGGUUGCACAUGGACAGAUUUCUAUGCUGAGUUGGUACAGUGAUCAACAAACUCCUAGAGAAGUGACACUUGCUCACGUGCUCACACACUUCCUUGGAAUUACUGCACAUGGAACAGUGUUCAUUAGCAACUUGUUCCCUCGAGAGAGUCCCUGUGCUGAGCUCCAGCCUGAUGUUUCUGCUGUACUGGAAAGUGUCUGUUCCCAGUCAGGAGAGGUCUGGGCACAGGGGCAGAAAUGCUUUGCAAGUGGGAGGUGUGCACCUAAGGUGUGCAGUGGCAGCAGGACAAUACAUGGCACUAAGGAUGAGCAGCAGAAUUUCUAGGCUUCGUAGCAACCCCCAAAUAAUUGGUGUUGAUAGUGGCUGCUGUGGAGCACUCUCAGACUGGCAUUCCUACCUGUAUCAUCACGUAGAAUCAGAGGUGUCCAUCACCUUGGAGGAAGCUAAACAGGGAAUGUGCUUUGCAAAUCCUAAGAAAUGUCAAGAAUGAAAAUUACUAUCUCUAAGCAUGACCAAAAUAUGGCUUCUUUCCUUUGGUUGAAGUGGUUUCUUGCCAGUAUCAGUAUCACCAACUGCUUGUACUGGCUUUUGAUCUUGUCAGACAACAAAUGGUGCCUCACACUGGCAUGAAGUGCAGCCAGAGCAUUAACCCACUGUCACUAAUGGGAAAGAUGAUUCACUGAACUCCUUCAACAUCCCUAAAUUCCCCAAAGCUCUUGAGUGUGGGUUACACUCUGCUUUGGCACAGGACAGGUGCAGGGCUGCACUGAAUAGGGGCCAAAACAAGGAUCACAUCCUGGGCACAUCAAGCAGCAUGCAGCAAGAGGGAGGCAAAAGCACUGACACUUUUCAAACAGCAGAUCUCACAUCAUGCUCACAGCAUAUCCCAAGACAGGGAAAAAAUACUGAGUGGACAUGCCAGGCAUAGCAGACCAAACAUCUGCAUCUGUGUGCUCAAAGCCAACACUGCUGGUUUGCAGAACAUGGUUUACAGUGAGUAUGCAAAUUAUUAUCAAAUUUGUCAUCUUCCUGGAAGAUUUAAUAAAAAUGUUGGCUAGUUAAAGAUGACAGAUCUGUGUUCUCUGAAUAAGGAACCCUUUAUAUCCAAAGAAUAUUUUAGCUCUUACUGAUAUCAGGUAUUUUAUCACAAUUUGGAGGCCAAUUUGUCCAGCUGCAUUAUCAGGAGGGAGCCCGAGCUGAGAAAGAGGAUUAAUCCCGUGUAGGCUCCCAGGCAGCUGUCAGCAUAGCACAGACAUCUGAAUUGCCACUGAAUUAUGCUGAAAGAAAACCAAAUACCCAGAAAAAAAAUCCUCUUUAUGGUUUUGUGUCCUCUCACUAGCCCUAGAGCCAGUCCUAGGAUGAAGGCAGAGUCUAAACUUGAUUUGGUAUUAGGAACUCUGAGCUCAAGCAGAUGGCUUCUCUGUUGCAGUUAAGGUAACUCCUCAGCAGUCAGCUAUAAUUGAAUAAUGCCACAUCAUUUUCAGUUCUGAGCUUUAGUUUCCUCAAAUGAUCUGCAGGCUUUGGCAGCUAUUUCUUGUGAUAAUGGAUCUUUCUCAAUUUCAUCAAAACUGGGGAAAAAACACCUGUUACUGACAUGUGUUUGUGCACUUUGUUAUGAGACAGAUUAUUUGAAAAUCCUUAUAUUCUCAUGUUUAAAAGGUAUUUGUGUGAGGUCCUUGUUUGCUUGUGGGCUUACUUUCCAGUGUGGUGUUCUUUCAACUGUUGCUUUUUUAGGUGUUUAAAUAACAGGUGAAGGCUGAUGUGUGACCUGUGUGAAGGAAAUUGAAGGAGACGACGCUGUCCUGAUGCUGUGCUGACAUACAGAACAUCAGCAAAUAGAAAAUGUUUACUGCUGUGAAUAUUUUAUUAAACAGUAGUUUCAUUUAGAUAAAUUAUUAUGAAGAUCAUGUAGCUCAGAAGUGUGCAAAGAGAUCAUAACUCUCUUGGAGUUAAAAUGCUGGAAGGAACCCUUUAUAUGAACUUGCUGAAACAAUUCAAUUUAUUGUACCAUUGGUCUGUUAACUGUCCAUAUCACUCAAUGCAAAAAUUCCAGAUGCCACUACAGAUGCUUAAACUGAGCAGAGAACAGCAUUGAGCCUAUAAAUGUUUCCUCCGGCUUCAAACACAAUUUUAGUCUCCACCAAUAAAUGAAAAAAUCAAUAUAAUACAUGGAUUUAUGGAAUGACAAAUCAUACCAGAAUAAUUUUAUAUUUCCAUAAGAGAAGAGAUGCUGGCAUUCGGAUGAAAACAACAUUCACUAGAUUUGCUUCUUAGCAAACAUCCCAUUUUAUUAACAGGGUUGUUUUAAGUAUAGUAUAUGGAAAGCUGGCUCCUUGCAUUUAAAAUAUUACUUAAAUGGUAUUCAAGCAACCUUUCCCUA